RNAcentral lists this ribosomal RNA (465 nucleotides) under uncultured bacterium. RNAcentral's name for it is "partial 16S ribosomal RNA". It matches the Rfam family "Bacterial small subunit ribosomal RNA", at positions 28 to 507 of the family's 1533-position model. The record is from RNAcentral.
GACGAACGCUGGCGGCGUGCUUAACACAUGCAAGUCGAACGGAAAGGCCCUGCUUGCAGGGUACUCGAGUGGCGAACGGGUGAGUAAUACGUGGGUGAUCUGCCCUGCACUUCGGGAUAAGCCUGGGAAACUGGGUCUAAUACCGGAUAGGAGCCAUUUUUAGUGUGAUGGUUGGAAAGUUUUUUCGGUGUAGGAUGAGCUCGCGGCCUAUCAGCUUGUUGGUGGGGUAAUGGCCUACCAAGGCGGCGACGGGUAGCCGGCCUGAGAGGGUGGACGGCCACAUUGAGACUGGGAUACAGCCCAGACUCCUACGGGCGGCAGCAGUAGGGAAUAUUGCAAAAUGGGCGCAAGCCUGAUGCAGCGACGCCGCGUGGGGGAUGACGGCCUUCGGGUUGUAAACUCCUUUCGCUAGGGACGAAGCUUUUUGUGACGGUACCUAGAUAAGAAGCGCCGGCUAACUACGUG